Molecule: long non-coding RNA, 355 nt
Filed under: Danio rerio (zebrafish)
Lineage: Eukaryota; Metazoa; Chordata; Actinopteri; Cypriniformes; Danionidae
Description: si:zfos-979f1.4 (ENSDARG00000097052.2)
Source: RNAcentral
GCUUCAGCUGCGACUGUAUCGUGGUUUUUGUGAUCGUCCAUCGUACACAGAGCAAACGUCACACUUCACAUCUCCAAGUCCAGCAGGAACAGAAGCUUGGAGUUUAGUCUUCUGGAGUUGCUCCACUAAUUCAGCAAGAAUGGAGUUUUUAUUUAAAGCAGGUCUUGGACUGAAUGUUUGUCUGCAUUGAGGGCAGCUGUAGACUCCCUUCUCGUCCUCCUGAUCCCAGCAAUCUGUAACACAGCUCAUACAGUAACUGUGUCCACACGGAAUGGCCACCGGAUCCUUUAGUAGAUCCAGACAUACAGGACAGAUGAACUAGUCUUGAGAAAAACCAACUUCUGCCAUUUCGCUG